CGCGGAUUACGGUGGCGG
RNAcentral lists this small RNA (18 nucleotides) under Arabidopsis thaliana (thale cress). RNAcentral's name for it is "Ath_wt_20527". The record is from RNAcentral. Lineage: Eukaryota; Viridiplantae; Streptophyta; Magnoliopsida; Brassicales; Brassicaceae.